RNAcentral lists this ribosomal RNA (429 nucleotides) under Fusobacteriota bacterium. Its description in RNAcentral is "Fusobacteria bacterium partial 16S ribosomal RNA". It matches the Rfam family "Bacterial small subunit ribosomal RNA", at positions 355 to 776 of the family's 1533-position model. Lineage: Bacteria; Fusobacteriati; Fusobacteriota. The record is from RNAcentral.
UGGGGAAUAUUGCGCAAUGGGCGAAAGCCUGACGCAGCGACGCCGCGUGAGGGAUGAAGGUUUUCGGAUCGUAAACCUCUGUCAGAAGGGAAGAAACCGCACUGUGCUAAUCAGCAGUGCCUUGACGGUACCUUCAAAGGAAGCACCGGCUAACUCCGUGCCAGCAGCCGCGGUAAUACGGAGGGUGCAAGCGUUAAUCGGAAUUACUGGGCGUAAAGCGCACGUAGGCUGCUUUGUAAGUCAGGGGUGAAAUCCCACGGCUCAACCGUGGAACUGCCUUUGAUACUGCUUAGCUUGAAUCCGGGAGAGGGUGGCGGAAUCCCAGGUGUAGGGGUGAAAUCCGUAGAUAUCUGGAGGAACAUCAGUGGCGAAGGCGGCCACCUGGACCGGUAUUGACGCUGAGGUGCGAAAGCGUGGGGAGCAAACAGG